Molecule: ribosomal RNA, 930 nt
Filed under: Triticum aestivum (bread wheat)
Lineage: Eukaryota; Viridiplantae; Streptophyta; Magnoliopsida; Poales; Poaceae
Description: partial small subunit ribosomal RNA
Source: RNAcentral
AUGGAUAGAAUUUCUCUUGAUGUUGAUUCUUUGAAACUUAGAUCUGUUCCACCUAAGCAUGAUAUCAAUGAAUCUCUCAAAGCCAUGAGAAUUUCCAUUAAUGAGUGCAAAGAAAGAACCGCUAGGAUGCGUGCUAAAAAGGAUUGCUUCAUAAAAGCGUGUUCUUCCAGUUUUCUCGAUAAUAAGGAUGAAUAUCUACAAGUGAUUGAUGUGUCUCCUAUUAAAUCUUUGUUUUGCAAUAUGAAUCUUGAUAAUGAUGGGACUGGAGAUGAGUCAACUUUAUCUAAAAGGCGUCCCAAUGAUUCAGAGUUUUUAGAUCUUGUUGCAAAAAUUGGUAAAAGUGGGAUUGAAGAGGUCAAAACUUUACAUAUCAAUGAACCCGCUAUUUUGGAUUUCAAGGAAUUUAAUUAUGAUAAUUGCUCUUUGAUAGAUUUUAUUCCCUUGUUGCAAUCCGUGCUAAAUUCUCCUCAUGCUUAUAGUCAAAAAGCUUUUACCAAACAUAUCAUUGAUGCUUUAAUGAAAUCCUAUGAAGAAAAGCUUGAAUUAGAAGUUUCUAUGCCUAGAAAACUUUAUGAUGAGUGGGAACCUACUAUUAAAAUUAAAAUUAAAGAUCAUGAAUUCUUUGCUUUAUGUGAUUUGGGUGCUAGUGUUUCCAUGAUUCCAAAAACUUUGUGUGAUGUGUUAGGUUUCCGUGAAUUUGAUGAUUGUUCUUUAAAUUUGCACCUCGCGGAUUCCACUAUUAAGAAACCUAUGGGAAGGAUUAAUGAUGUUCUUAUUGUUGCAAAUAGGAAUUAUGUGCCCAUAUAUUUCAUUGUUCUUGAUAUAGAUUGCAAUCCUACAUGCCCUAUUAUUCUUGGUAGACCUAUCCUUAUAACGAUUGGUGCAAUUAUUGAUAUGAAAGAAGGAACAUUAGAUUCCAAUUUCUGUUAA